GAUGAACGCUGGCGGCGUGCCUAACACAUGCAAGUCGAACGGAAAGGCGCCGUCGUGGGCCGACGAGCGGCUGACGGGCGAGUGAGACACACGAGCGUGCCCGAUCCUGGGGGAUAAGGUGGCGAAAGGUUUCUUAAUAUCGCAUACGAUAUAAGGUCGUGAGCCGGGGAGUGCAAGGGCUAGUGUCGGCGGUGCGGUCGCUGGCAGAUGAGUUAGUUGGUGGGGUAAGAGCUUACCAAGGCGACGAUUUGUAGCUGGACUGAGAGGAUGAGCGGCCACACUGGAACUGAGACACGGCCCAGACUCCUACGGGAGGCAGCAGUCGGGAAUGUUGGACAAUGGGCGCAAGCCUGACCCAGCGAUGCCGCGUGAGGGAUGAAGGCCUUCGGGUCGUAAACUGCUGUUGUACGGGACGAACAGCUUUCUUUUGAUACAGGCGGGUCAUGACGGUACCGUAUGAAUAAGCACCGGCUAACUACGUG
Molecule: ribosomal RNA, 482 nt
Filed under: uncultured bacterium
Lineage: Bacteria
Description: partial 16S ribosomal RNA
Rfam family: Bacterial small subunit ribosomal RNA
Source: RNAcentral